UAACAUGAGAGUUUGAUCCUGGCUCAGGACGAACGCUGGCGGCGUGCCUAACACAUGCAAGUCGAGCGGAGAUGCAGCAAUGUAUCUUAGCGGCGGACGGGUGAGUAACACGUGGGUAACCUGCCUCAUAGAGGGGGAUAGCCACCCGAAAGGGUGAUUAAUACCGCAUGAUGCGGAGCUUGGGCAUCCAGGCACCGUUAAAGGAG
Molecule: non-coding RNA, 206 nt
Filed under: Oxobacter pfennigii
Lineage: Bacteria; Bacillati; Bacillota; Clostridia; Eubacteriales; Clostridiaceae
Description: Bacterial small subunit ribosomal RNA
Rfam family: Bacterial small subunit ribosomal RNA
Source: Rfam by way of RNAcentral